Aethalodelphis obliquidens (Pacific white-sided dolphin) is the source of this 4676-nucleotide long non-coding RNA. RefSeq lists it as uncharacterized. The transcript has 6 exons. Lineage: Eukaryota; Metazoa; Chordata; Mammalia; Artiodactyla; Delphinidae. The record is from RefSeq and is a predicted model, not a curated record.
UUCUUCCUAAUGAGCGAAGAAAACAGAAUUUAACCAAGUUGUAUUUUCUCACAAUCAUUCUCUUGUCAUGUACCAUGAUGAUACUGGCACGUUGACAUGAAAGCUGUUAUCCAGAUCCUGGGCUUUGGAAUUCAUCUGUGUGGAAAUUAUGACCUUAGCCUUUCAAACUGGAAUUUUGACAUUUGAAUGCUAGCCAAAAAUUUUUAAGUUUAUGUUGCUUAAAAGUAAUAUUUUUACAGAUUACUCAGUAACGUGUGUGGACAAUUGUGUAGCUAUCUGGAAAAAAGAACUAGGUUAUUCCUUACAUCAAAAAUUGGUAAUUUUGCUUGCCUCUGGGAAGGGAACUGGAGGAGGCCAGUGGUAGCGUGCGGAGAGACACGGUCACGUUCAGGCCUUGUUGUAGUGUAAGCUAACAUCACCUCUGUGUUGGGCAAUGUCCUAUCUUUCAAAAUUGUAAAAGUGUGUGUCCUUUCACCGACCAAUUCUAAAUCUGCUUAUCCUACACUUUACUCAUGUAAAAGGAUGUAUGUACAAGGAUCUUCAUUACAGAUUGAGUAGCAAAAGAUUAGAAGCACCCUGAAGGUCUGUCAGGAGAGACUGGUUAAAAACAUGAUGGGAUAUCCAUCAGUACCACAUUAUGCAGCCAUGAGAAUGAAUAAGGCAGUGCUUCAUACACGACAAGGACGAGCGCCAAGACGGAUGCUCAAGUGAAACAAAGAUGCAGAGUGUUGCAUACAUACAGUACAUGCAAGUAUAUACACAUACCGAGCAGCAGUGUUCUUGCGCACACGUGCACAAUGCAUCUCUGGAAGUGUACUUCCUUCUGGGGAGGAUAGGAGCAGUGGGUGGGGGAGGGAAGGAAGCUUAACUUUUUUCACUUUUUUGUACUUCAAAACAUGUGAAACAUGUCCUUGUAUAAUCUAUGCAAAAAAAGUUUUAAAUCAAUGUAUAAAGAGAAGUAACGUUUUUAUGAGUUGAUCUAAAAUGUAGCCAUAAAAAUGUUUCCAAAGAGACUGCUGGCUUAGAUUAAAUGAGUGAAAAGAUUGCAUUAUUAAAUUCCUUUAAAUUAUUAGCAUGUUAUUACUUUCAGUUACAUGUAGUAACUUGAGAAAAACCACAGGAAUUGUCACUGUAGUGUCUACUACAAUAGCCACUCAGCAUAUGUGGCUACUGGAAUAUGGCUAAUGUGACUGCAGCUUCAACUCAGGCACACUGAAGGAUUGAAUUUUUAAUUUUGUUUAAUUUGAAUUUGAAUAGACACAAAUGGCUACAGACUGUCAUAUUGAACAGCACAGAUAGGGGACAUGGAGAACAUUUCCAUGAUCACCAAAAGUUCUAUUGGACAGCACUCAUCUAGAAUUACCUUUCUUCAUAUAUUUAUUGUGAAUGAAGGGCUGCUUCUGAGAUCCCUGGAAGUAAUUUGUGAAUGAGAUUUCAGGCAGAAUGCUUUCACUACUAAAGAAAAUACUAAUUGUCUUAUUUGUCAGUUAUACUUAAUAAUGCUGAAACAAAAGAAAAAGAAAAGAAAAAGAAAAAACUACUUAAAGGAUCCUUCUUUCCACAUUGUAUAAGGGAAAAAUUGAGCCCUGUUCCCACUUGAAUUAUCAUAGAGUUGGAGUUGGUGGGGUCUGGGAUUAUUGGCUUUAAGCCCAAGAAUUGUUCUAUGAUAGGUAAUCAAUUUGGCUUUUUAGUACAAUCUUGUAGCGCCUGCAGUGGCCUCUGAGGGUCCCAAGAGAGCAAACAGCAUGUGAAUGAUGGGGUGUGUCUGCAGGAAUGUUCCAUAUGGGCAUUGUCCCAUUGUGAGGGCUUUUUCCUUACGCAUCUUGAGGAAAUCAUUCUCAAGAUUUUGAGUGUAUGUGUACAGAACAUAUCACAGAACUGGUUAUCAUCAAAAGAUUUUUAGAGAUUAUUUUGUCUAAUCCCUUCAUUUUUAGGUGAUAAGACUGAGACAGGACGAGGUGAAGCACCUUGCUCAGAAUCACUCACUGGUUAGUGGCAGAGUUGGAAUUAGAACUUGCUGCCUCCUAUUCCAGACAAGUCUUGAUAAAUGGUGCUUUAGAAAGGGAAAUUUUUGAAAUGUUGAAACGUUCUUAGUCAAACAUCUAAAAUAGCCUUGAUGUAUGAGAUAUAGCCUAUUUCACUGUCAUCCUUGUCUUUUUUAGGGAGGUGUGGGCUGAUACCUCUGAAUCACAGUUAUAUGUUUAGAUUCCUAGAGCCAGACACUGCUGGUUGCCUACCCAAUAGACCCCUGCCUGUCUUCUUCCAUGCCCUCUUUUCUCAUCCGCUUCCAAAGGGCCACAUCCUUUCUGGGAGCCUUGACCCCUCCCCAGGCUCUGAGGCUCUCUAGCCCUGGUGGUCUAGGGCACCUUGGGGCAUUUGACAAUUCUGUCCCUUGAGGCACAGCGGGAAGUCAGCUGGGAGUAGAUGCUGUUUCCUGGGAAGAUUUUCCUUGUUCUUAAAAACAGAUAUGAUAGUACUGUUCCCUUUUUUUCUGCCUCAGGGUGUUGAUGUGUAAAGGUGAUGCCUGGAGCUGCUACAGCCAUCUUGUGGCCUUGGGGAGUGGCUGAUGAGGUAGCUAAAAGUGCCAGAGUGGAAAGAUGGACUGAGUCUGGGUUCUCAAAGACAACCCUGAGGGCUGGAUUAAUUAGCUGGGGAUUAUCCUUUUCUGGAUUUCAGUCUGAGUUGUCGUUUCCAGGCCAAAUGUUUUGGAAAACAUCAAAAUCUGCGCUUACCACUUAUUACAAACAUCAGUUAAACCAGUGGGACCUCUCCACCGUGGGAACUUCUUUUAUUUCAGAACAACUACAUGGAGUUAUUUUCCCCAUCCUACCUGUAAGGAAGCUGAAACACCAAACUCCUUGACAAGUCAGCCAAGUGCUUUGCUCUCACAAAGAAUGCUGCAAUGAAUAUGCCUGUUCAUGUAAUUUCAUACCCGUGUAUGUAUUCCUAAACGUGGAAUUGCUGAGUCAAUUGAUCUUUCGAUGGAUGUUGCCAAGUCGUCUUUCUCUAGAGGUAACCUCGUUCUUUUUAACUGAAGGAUAUUCAACACCAAUAUUUAACCAACAUAACCAGUUAGAGAUGAGAUGGAACCGUAGCUCAGAAUGUGGGAGCCAACACUGCCUUCUGCCCAUGGUUGGGGAAGGACUUGACUCCUGCUGGGAGCUCAGUGGCAAGAGGGGGGGUAUGUUUGCUCUAGAUAAUCCCUGAGGAAACCAUCACUGGUCAAGAGCUUUAGUUUACAGAGUAGAUUUCUGUGCAUAAUCAAUCUCACUUAACCCUACUGAAUGAGGAAGGGCCAUGUUACUCAUUUUCAUCCCAUUCUACAGAUGAGAAAACUGAGGCUCGAAGGAGUCACACUCAAGUGACUGGCAUGACCAGGGUCUGAGACUCCAACUUUCAGGUGGUUUUCCACUGUGUCAACAGCUUUCCCCUUUUUCUCUGGGUCCCUUCCUCUGCCUCUCCAAUCCUUACCACCCCCUAUACACCAAAUCCUCCCCAGACAAUGCUGCCCUCAGGAUCACCCCCAAACGCAACUCCUCAGGUUCCAAUAAACCCAGGAAUAUGCAAUGAGAUUAGAAAUGGUUCCAAUUGGCCUGGAACACAUCCCUGAGGCUGUCUCAGUGGGAGAAUUUAUACCUUCUUAUUGCUCAGACAGGCUCAAGGACAGAUGUGAGGCCUGGACUCCUUCCUACCCAGCCCCUCAGCCCUCAGGGGCAGAAAAUUAGUUACUUACGUUUAGAGGAUAAAUAACUGGGAGGAAAAAGAUGCAUAAAUGAAUUCAUGUGUAGAAAAGCAAAAGACCUAGUUUAUAAAGGUGCCCACUCUUCAUCAAACCCAACGUAAAAACACUCAGGACUUUUUUCAGGUCUUCAUUUCCUUAUGCAGGCUCCUGUGUCACGUAAAACUUAAAUACAUUUGCAUGCUCUUCUCCUGUUCAUCUGUCUUUGUCAGUUUAAUUUUCAGAUCCAUCCAGGGACCUUAAGAGGGUCAGGAGAAUUCUUCCCUCCCCUACAGUCCCCUGGUAUUCACACACUUGUGUAAUUUUUGUUUCCCCUUGAACCGGGGCUAGACCUAGUGACUCACUUCUAAGGAAGAGAAUACAGCAGAAAUGAGGGGAGGUCACUUCCGGGGUCAGGUCACAGGAGGACUGAGUGCUUCCCAGGUCACUCACUUGCUCCGAGGAAAGGCAGCUGCCAUAUUGUGAGCCGUGCCACAGGGGGGCCCACAAGCUACGGAACCGAUGUCUCCCUCAAGAGCCAGCAAGGACCUGAGAUUGCCAACAGCCAUGUGAGUGAAUUUGGAAGUGGAUCUUCUCCCAGCCGAGUUUUGGGAUGACUGCAGCCCCAGGCAACUCCUAGAUUGCAGCCUCCUGAGAGACCCUGACCCAGAGGCCUGGAUGCCUGAGCCACAGAAACUCUGAGGGAGGCAGGAGACCACCAGGAGGAUGGAGGAUGGCCUUUGUCCAGGAGGCUGGACUGCCAACUUCAGAAGAUAAGCCAGGCCCCAGCCAGUGCAGCCACUGGGGGUCUGAGCCCACCACUCACCUUUGAGGAAGUCCCCUGCCUGCUUCCUACUCCUCAAGGCCCAGAUCCAGGCCUUAACUGGCAUUGAUGACAAAACUGGCGACCCAGUGAAUGAGCACAGGCUCCGGAUGCGCAGGCUCAGCGGCCAUGGCU